GACGAACGCUGGCGGCGUGCUUAACACAUGCAAGUCGAACGCUGAAGCUCAGCUUUUGUUGGGUGGAUGAGUGGCGAACGGGUGAGUAACACGUGAGUAACCUGCCCCCUUCUUUGGGAUAACGCCCGGAAACGGGUGCUAAUACUGGAUAUUCACUGGUCUUCGCAUGGGGGUUGGUGGAAAGGGUUUUUCUGGUGGGGGAUGGGCUCGCGGCCUAUCAGCUUGUUGGUGGGGUGAUGGCCUACCAAGGCUUUGACGGGUAGCCGGCCUGAGAGGGUGACCGGUCACAUUGGGACUGAGAUACGGCCCAGACUCCUACGGGAGGCAGCAGUGGGGAAUAUUGCACAAUGGGCGCAAGCCUGAUGCAGCGACGCCGCGUGAGGGAUGGAGGCCUUCGGGUUGUGAACCUCUUUCGCUCAUGGUCAAGCCGCAACAAUGGUUGUGGUGAGGGUGGUGGGUAAAGAAGCGCCGGCUAACUACGUG
RNAcentral lists this ribosomal RNA (483 nucleotides) under uncultured bacterium. RNAcentral's name for it is "partial 16S ribosomal RNA". It matches the Rfam family "Bacterial small subunit ribosomal RNA", at positions 28 to 507 of the family's 1533-position model. The record is from RNAcentral.